This 467-nucleotide ribosomal RNA is filed under the name uncultured organism. RNAcentral describes it as "bacterial SSU rRNA". It matches the Rfam family "Bacterial small subunit ribosomal RNA", at positions 28 to 507 of the family's 1533-position model. The record is from RNAcentral.
GACGAACGCUGGCGGCGUGCUUAACACAUGCAAGUCGAACGAUGAAGCCCAGCUUGCUGGGUGGAAGAGUGGCGAACGGGUGAGUAACACGUGAGUAACCUGCCCUUCACUCUGGGAUAAGCGCUGGAAACGGUGUCUAAUACUGGAUACGACCCUUACAGGCAUCUGUUGGGGGUGGAAAGAUUUAUCGGUGAAGGAUGGGCUCGCGGCCUAUCAGGUAGUUGGUGAGGUAACGGCUCACCAAGCCGACGACGGGUAGCCGGCCUGAGAGGGUGACCGGCCACACUGGGACUGAGACACGGCCCAGACUCCUACGGGAGGCAGCAGUGGGGAAUAUUGCACAAUGGGCGAAAGCCUGAUGCAGCAACGCCGCGUGAGGGAUGACGGCCUUCGGGUUGUAAACCUCUUUUAGUAGGGAAGAAGCGUAAGUGACGGUACCUGCAGAAAAAGCACCGGCUAACUACGUG